This is a long non-coding RNA of Oncorhynchus tshawytscha (Chinook salmon), 1659 nucleotides long. The record is from Ensembl. NCBI's taxonomy places the organism in Eukaryota, Metazoa, Chordata, Actinopteri, Salmoniformes, Salmonidae.
CCUAGCCUGGUCCUAUACAGAAACAGUAGUCAUGCUAACUCUCCUAGCCUGGUCCUAUACAGAAACAGUAGUCAUGCUAACUCUCCUAGCCUGGUCCUAUACAGAAACAGUAGUCAUGCUAACUCUCCUAGCCUGGUCCUAUACAGAGACAGUAGUCAUGCUAACUCUCCUAGCCUGGUCCUAUACAGAAACAGUAGUCAUGCUAACUCUCCUAGCCUGGUCCUAUACAGAAACAGUAGUCAUGCUAACUCUCCUAGCCUGGUCCUAUACAGAAACAGUAGUCAUGCUAACUCUCCUAGCCUGGUCCUAUACAGAGACAGUAGUCAUGCUAACUCUCCUAGCCUGGUCCUAUACAGAGACAGUAGUCAUGCUAACUCUCCUAGCCUGGUCCUAUACAGAGACAGUAGUCAUGCUAACUCUCCUAGCCUGGUCCUAUACAGAAACAGUAGCCUGGCUAGCUAGCCAGAGACUGAGAGAAGCAGAGUUUGGCCAAAGCGAGACAUUUCAACCUGUAAAAACAUUAGACAAAGGGAAAGGGUGCAACUCUACCCUACUGCCUUCAUAAACUACAGGACAGCUCCUCAAUCGUGGUGAGCAGCAGUAGUGCUUCUGGGAUACUGAGUCUGGAAGUCCAUCAGUAGGAUCAGAGGAGCACAUGUAAAGAGUUGACCGUACUGUCUUUAUAUUCCACUCAGGUGCUAGCCGGGUCCCAUACCCUCCUACACACUAGUCCACUUCCCUAACCCCUACAAACUAGUCCCCUUCCUUAACCGCUACCCUCCUGCAGACUAGUCCCCUUCCUUAACCCCUACCCUACUACAAACUAGUCCCCUUCCUUAACCCCUACCCUCCUGCAGACUAGUCCCUUCCUUAACCCCUACCCUACUACAAACUAGUCCCCUUCCUUAACCCCUAACCUCCCACAAACUAGUCCCCUUCCUUAACCCCUAACCUCCCACAAACUAGUCCCCUUCCUUAACCCCUGCCCUCCUACACACUAGUCCACUUCCCUAACCCCUACAAACUAGUCCCCUUCCUUAACCCCUACCCUCCUGCAGACUAGUCCCCUUCCUUAACCCCUACCCUACUACAAACUAGUCCCCUUCCUUAACCCCUAACCUCCCACAAACUAGUCCCCUUCCUUAACCCCUAACCUCCCACAAACUAGUCCCCUUCCUUAACCCCUACCCUCCCACAAACUAGUCCCCUUCCUUAACCCCUACCCUACUACAAACUAGUCCCCUUCCUUAACCCCCUACCCUACAACAAACUAGUCCCCUUCCUUAACCCCUACCCUCCCACAAACUAGUCCCCUUCCUUAACCCCUACAACAAACUAGUCCCCUUCCUUAACCCCUACCCUCCCACAAACUAGUCCCCUUCCUUAACCCCUACCCUACUACAAACUAGUCCCCUUCCUUAACCCCUACAACAAACUAUCCCCUUCCUUAACCCUCUACCCUACUACAAACUAGUCCCCUUCCUUAACCCAUACCCUACUACAAACUAGUCCCCUUCCUUAACCCCUACCCUACAACAAACUAGUCCCCUUCCUUAACCCCUACCCUCCCACAAACUAGUCCCCUUCCUUAACCCCUACCCUCCCACAAACUAGUCCCCUUCCUUAACCCCUGCCCUACUACACACUAGUCCCCUUCCC